This 675-nucleotide long non-coding RNA is filed under the name Mustela putorius furo (domestic ferret). Its description in RNAcentral is "lncRNA (ENSMPUG00000024224.1)". Lineage: Eukaryota; Metazoa; Chordata; Mammalia; Carnivora; Mustelidae. The record is from RNAcentral.
AUGGCAAGGCUCAGUGGGGAGGGCGGCCGGCCGAGGCCUGUGGGCCGCCUGUGGUCUGUGGGAUGGUUUUUGCCGAACCUGCAAGACCUGAAAGUCAGGACAGGGACCAAAUUGGUGGCCAUACUGAAUCUUGGGGCUUACGCCUGGAGAGGGGAGGAUGUGGAAGAACUAGAGACUAACCUGGUCCUGAUGACAUUGUCUGAAUCCUGGAUCCAGCCAAACCUGCAGCUGACUCCACGCUCCACUUCUCAGCAUCCAGCCUGGAAGCCCGAGAGCCCAGCGUCCACCCCAGGUCCCAGGAAGCCCGGCUACCAACUCCUCCAGUGGGCUCUAGCUCCGUGGUUUGAAGAGAUUCGAGCACCCCCUGCUGGCAGCUGGCACAUCAGAGCGUCAACCGCCUGAGAGGUCAGCCCCCCCCCCUGCCCCUUGUCAUGCCGGUCACCGCCCCGGUGUGAUCCCUCAAAUGCACUAGACAUUUACAACUCCCCUCCAGAAAUGCUUCUCACAAGACUCCCCCACUUUCCUCCCACUGAUGCAUCUGAUAUGCCCCAAUCAUCUCUGAGACUGCAAGGCAUCACUUCCUCCAAGAAGCCUCCCUUGAUUUCACCCAGGGAAACUGAUCACACCGGCUUCCUGUCCCCGCUGUCCCUGUGAAAUGAAAACCCUAUCGCAGCU